UUUCAGAUUUCUGAAACUGAAAUUUCAGUGACAUUGGCUAUAUUUUAGGGUACCAUAACUUUUGUUUUAUAUGCUUUUAGUUAUGGGUUGCUAUACAAAAGACAUAUAGCUAUGAAUAUAGAAUAACUUUGGUGAAGAGAUAGUGGUCUGUUGCUAUGAAGAAUUGGGAGAUCAGAGGGCCUGAACUGGGAGGAAUGGAAUGAAGCAGCAGGCUGAUACAAUUGAGUUCAAUGUGGCAUUCGAAUUCUGAAGAAGAUCACUUCCUCUUUGUUAGGUUACUCGAGUAUUGGAUGGAGUCAAGGUUGAGAUACAUCACUAUGGGUCUAGGGGCCUUAUUUGCUGCUGGGAAAAUAGCAGAUUUGGACUGUUUUGGUGGGCAGUGAGGCCUUAUCUGUUGGAUCUGUGGUGGAAUUAACUAGACAGCAAAAAUCCAGUGGUUUCAUGCCUUCACCCCAGUAGCAAAUAUCAAGUUUUGGACCAUAGUGCAUACCCAAGUGGGAGACUUAUCUACUCCCUUUCCUAUCUGUUUACCGAACGAAGGGAUGGAUAUUUUGGCUGUGUGAGAUAGACUAAAUGCAGUGUAUUUGAGCUGUGGUUAUGAGCCUAUGUGGUGUGGGUGCAUGGGAGCCACGUACAAUAGGUCAUGCAGUGCUGGCAUUCCCACGGUUCUCCUACAUCAGGUCUGAGUUGAGCUCCAUACCCUGCCUACACAUUCAGUUGUACUUGUCCAUAUCCAGUACCCUUCGCUUGGGUUCAGUAAAGCUUCCCCUUGCCCUCAGGUUUUAGCUCGAGACCACUGCGUAAGUGCUGGAAUUCCUGUGUUCACGCUAGUACUCACCUCUCCCCAGUCACCAAACUUCGCCCCUCACAGAAACUUGCACGCCAUCUUCCUGCCAGUGGUGACCAUAGCAGCAGUUUACAUCCUCACCAUGGCCAAGAUUCGUCGGAGGUUGUCUCGGUCGUGUGGUGCCCGUUCCUUGUUCCUCAUAGGUCAGUGAAGCUCACACCAUUUACUGCUUGAACUCUACCACUAUUGGUUGCCUGGAACUAGGUGUGAAAUUUGCUCAAACAUAGGCUGUCAGAUUUCUGGAUCCCAGACUUAGUGCAUAAGGCUGAAACUAGGUUUUAGUGUGUUGAGCUCCACUUUGGUGCUUCAUAAAAAUUGUUCUGAAUGUUUUCAACCUAGGGGUGCUAUACCAAAGUAGUAGAGCUAUAUCUAAGGAAUAACUUUGGUAAUGUGAGUUUGGUCUGUUGCUGUGUAAAAAUUGGAGAAAAGGUUGGCUAAAGUUGGUCUAUCAGGAUGGACACACAACUGAAUUUUUAUUCAGUUCUGAGAACUGAAUUGCAGCAGGAUGCCUAGUUUGGAAUUCAUUUGUGACUGAUUCAUGGGGUUUUGGAUUAAGGGUUCCAUAGCAACGUUGUAGACCAUAGUAAAGUGAACAAGUUUGCUAAAGUGAGAUGGACCUGGUUUCACAUAAAUUUGAGAGUAAAAGUGACCAAAAGUUUGACUGUCAGGUGGUUGGUGACUUAGUCUAUUCAGAACUGAAAGUCUGAAAUCAGUAAUUUUAGUGCAGUUUUGGAGCUAUGUAGUGCCUGUUCUAGGUGGUUUUGAACCAAAGUUUCUACAGCAAGUUUGAAGAACAUGUGUUAGAGAACAACAUCCUUUAGGUGAGUUGGGGUUGAUCCCACACACAAAGUGGUGUAAAGACUGCCCAAAGAUGGACUUUCAGUUGCGGAGACUGAAUUUCAUUCAGCUGCCUGAAAACUGAAUUUGCAAUGUGUAUUUUCAGUCUUGGAGUGUUAUACCAAAGUGGAAGAGCAAUACUUAGGGAAUAGAUUUGGUUAAGUAAGUGGGUCUCUUGUCAUUUGAGUUUAUGAGAUAAAAGGCAUUGAACAGAGGGGAGAGGAAUGGAGCAAUGGAAGAUGAAUUCAGAGAACUGAAAGUAGGUUCAAUGAAUUGUGGCUUAUUCUUGGACACUAUAACUUGUAGUUCAUGUAGGUUGGAUCCUUGCUUAAGGCAUAAAUGAAGUACUUGGUUGGUUAUGGAGGCAAGGUUUCCUAGUUUGGUUGGUGAAUUGAGUUGUGAUAUUAGAGUAUUUAGCUCUCUUAAGGUUUUGUUAGUUUUUGUGUGCACCUUUAGAGAGGUGUAAGUCUUGUGAUGCUUUUUAGUUUUUUCUUUUCAAGUUGCAUCAGCAUAAGCAUUCAUGUUCAUAUCUUUACAUGUAGAAUUCCCAGAAGAAGAUGAAAUUCAAGAAGUAGUUUCUAAAAAGGAGUUUGCUCCAGUGCCUAUUCAGCAAGUGGAUGGAGCUAUCUAACUGGUUAUUGGGUAGAAAGGUCUUGAGCCUCUUCACUGCAACAAAGGCAAGCCCCGGUGCAUUUACCCCUUCCUUGUAUUUUUAAAAAGACUUUUAUACACUUAAGUCUAGUGAAAUGUGCAUUAAGUUUAUAGGAAUUGCUUGGAAACUAUUUGAUGCAUUGCCUACCUUGAUAUCCAUACCUUUAUAGAUACUUCUGAUGAAGUAUCAAAAUAUGAUUUACAAAAAUGCUUAGCCCUGCUUAGAUCUUGUGGAUAGAGGUUGUCCUUUGCGUUAAUGCCUAGCUCAGGGUUAUCCUGAGGAAGGAUGGCUUCUACCUGCAAGAAUAUUUUCAUUGGGAGCAUGGUGGGAUCUUACUGCAAAGUUCCCUAUAAUGUGCUCUUUUCAUCCUAAGGAACACAAACAAUCCUAAGGAUGGAAGUACUUAAAUCGGGACUUGGGCUAUGAACAGGUGAUGUUCUACCCAGGUUAAUUAAGGAUUGGAUACAUAUGUAGGCCUGUAUGAUCAAGGACUAUCUUAACUGGCCACAUGCCCUGGAUAUGGGACAGGGUAAGCUUGAACCCGGCUAUUCCAUACAUGAAAAGACAAUCGCGCACUGGGAGUGGAGAGAUGGCGAGAGUGGCACGUACCCUCCUGGCAAAGGACCGCCUAAAAAGGGUGGUGUGCUCUCGGGUGGCGCGGACCUGUUCAUGCAGUGGAGGAUCCGUGGGAAUGGUUGACAUAUGCAAGGGUUAAGUGCUACAUAUGUCGUGUGGUUAGAGAUCCUCAGCUGAGUAAAUCGAUUCGGAUCGCCGUUAUAUCCCCGGAGAGUGGAGACUUGAUCGCUGCCCUGCAACCUAAGUCAGGAUGUAAACAUUAUGAAUAAAAAUGAUGUUGUAUUGAUGAGAUGGUGAAAUUAGACUAGAUGCUACCAGAGUCUAUUAAUAUUUAAUCUGGCGUUAAAAUAUUGAAAGUAAGGACUCACUUUAGCAGGCUAUUUCUGCAAAAGUAUCUAAGUUGAUUCUUGCUAAAGCCUUUUCCUUGAUUCCUAUUUAACCAGCAUAUCCUUGAGAGUCAUUUUUCCUUAGUCGGGUAAGACUUGCGAAAGUACACUCCGUACUCAGGGUUUUCGAACCCAUGUUGCUGUAGGUGAUGAGGAGUACUCUAUGUGUUCGUGAGGCUGGAGGGCGCUUCCAGUUCUAGAGGAGGAUUAGUUAGGCUUAUGUAUAAGCUUUGGAGGGUUCCUACCUUCCUGCUAUUGUAAUAAGUUAUGCACUUUGAGUAUAUCAGGACUUGUAAUAAAUGUAACUCUUCCUAUGUAAUAACCUUCAGUUUUAGAAAUAAAAAGAAUGUUUUGUGAAGUCUUUCGCUCUUAUCUUCGAAGUGUGUGUAUCAAAUGUGAUUACUGUAAUAUGCAUGUAUGGUGGGAGAUCCUUGGGAUGAUGAGUUCAAGUUGUUGAACUCGUGAUAGCCUUGUUAAGUUACCUGGUACACGUGCAUAGCCAUCUGAGGCCAUCAAGGCAAGGAUUGGUGCACGUGGGCCCGAUAACUUGGGAGGGCUGCCACAGAUUGGUAUCGGAGCGAUCCCCCAUUAUCAUGGAUAUUAAAGUAAUCCUUUGAUAUACUUCAAAAGGAUUUUGAGUUCAAAUUAUUUUGGAAAAACUUAAGAAUAUGAUCAAAUCCUGAUAGUCGAAGUGCAAAUAGUAUAUAGUUAAGAUAAGGACUAUAAGGUGGCUUAGUUUAGGAUGCUAACCACUAACCCACAACUAUAAUGUAAUUUUCUGCAGGUACACUAACUAAACCCUAGGAAAGUGCGACUAGUGUUCAAUAACGGAGUGAGUAGGUAUGCCACCGCCAUAGAACGUGAUAGCCACUAUAUGUUGGCAAGAAUUGUCAGGACGAAUAGGUCGAGCAUGCAUCAUGACAUACAAUUUUAAGUUAAGCCCCCUAUAUAGUAGCUUAGUACAUGUUUCAUUCAUCCUAUUCAUGCUACCUAUCUUUGCUUUUCUAUACUACCUUUUCCUAUUCGUGAAGCCUUGGAACUCAGCUCAUUUGGUGGACCAGUAGUUUAUAAGGUAUAGUUGCAAAAAAAAUUGUCAACAGUGCACAACAUGUUCCACGUGUCCCAGUUAAAGAAAUGUUUUCGAGUCCCCGCGCAUGUUAUUGGGAUUUCAGGUGUCAAUAUUGAACCAGAUUUAACCUACUUGGAAUAUCCCAUAAGGGUGUUGGAUCUAAAGGAUCAGGUCACUCGAAGAAAAGCUAUCAUGUUUUACUAGGUACAGUGGAACCAACACCCGGAAGAUAAACCAUAUAGGAAUCGGAGGAGUAUUUAGAAAAACAUUUUCCUGAGUUCUUAGUUUCAUCUAAGCCGUACGUUUUAUGUAGUUGUUUUUUUUAUGUGAACCAACAAGGAUACACCCCCUGUCUUGUAGGAGUAAUGGGAAAUAAGCCAGUGACACAUUUCCUUUUCCAUUACCUAGCCUAGAGUUUUAAAUCUCGGGACGAGAUUUCUUUUAGGGGGGAAGACUGUAACACCCCUGGUGUUACGUUAACUAAAACUCUGACAUGUCAUCAUAAGCAUUUGCAUUAUCUUGUUUGAUAUACCUAGAAUGCAUUCACUAGGUCAAAAAAUUUUCAUUGAAUGUGGUGUUGUGUAUUAGAGUACAGGGCUCAGAUUAAGAACUUUGCUUAAGACAUGGGAAGAAAAGUCGUCUCUUGAGCAAGUAAUAAGUUGGCUUGGAAUUUAAAGUAUUAAAGGUAAGACUUAGAACCUAGAGCAACUUUGUUUUCAAAGGGAGAUUAAGUGGAAGGAACACUUGAGCUCAAGGAUCAACUUAGAAACCUUAAUGUAAGGGUUGAAAGUUUGUUUGCAAUUAUGUGUAAGCAAACAACUCCUAAACCAAGGAUACCUUGGACCUGAGUUCUAUAAGAUAAAGUUGAAUUUGAGAUUAAGAAGCAACUUUGCUUUAGGAGGAUGGAUAAGUUUGCUUUUGAUAUGUGGAUUAUAAGUGGUGAAGUACUUGGGGUGGUUGAGUAUCUCUAACCCCUAAACUGGAGCCCAAAAGUGGAUUUGGAGAUCUAGCCACAUUUUGCAAGAGGUAAAAAUACCAAGUUGGUAGGAUUUCCAAAGUUGCACAAUUUUGUUAUUUGGAGAUUUCCAUGUUGUGUGGAGAAAUUUGGAGAAAUUCACAAAGGUUCAGUUUUAGAGUUCCUGAAAAUAGCAGCAACUAGGCAAUUUUAGUCCUUUGUAACUUUUGAUCUAGAACCAUUUUGAAGAUGAUCAUUAUAACAAAGUUAUAGAGCUACAUGAGGAGUAUAAGUUUGGUUAAGUCACCUAGCACUAAAACUGUUUGGAACUUAGAGAAAACCUGGUCCAAAGUAAAGCUGUCAGAAAUUGUAGGUUUCAAACUUAGUGAAAUUCAGAUCCUGAAUUUCAGCAAUUGGAGCAAACUUUGGACUAUUGUAGUUUGGAAUCCAAGAGGUUUUGGUUAAUGACCAUUAUAGAAACAUUGUAGAAUAAGUACAGGAGAGAAACUUUUAUUAAGUGUGACAGCCCUGGAACUAUAUACAACUAGGAGAAAAGGUGAUCCAAAGUGAGGUUGUCAGACUUUUUGAGUUUUUAGAUUGGGAACAGUGAACUGAAACUAAGAUUUCAGUAUAUAUAGCUGUUUUUGGAGCUCAAUUGUGUCUAAUCCAUGAGGUUUUGGGCUGUUGAAUAUAUAGAGGAAUUAAAGACCAUAUGAUGGUGAAUAAGUCUCCUUAAGUGACUUUGGUUUGAUCCUACACAAAAGUUGGAAAGAAAGCUUGCUCAAGGUUAGACUGACAGACAGUGCUUUAAUUGCAUUUGGUUCAGUUCUGAAAUCUGAAAUUUGUUGUUUGGUGCCAAGUUUGGAGCCCUUUUGUGGUUGUUAUAUAAGGUUUUGGACUGAGGUUUUUGUAGUGUAAGUGAAGACCACCCAAUGGUGAACAACUGUAUUAAAGGAUGAUGCACAUGAUCCCAAAUAAAAAGUGGUGUAACAGCUGCUCAAAGUUUGACUAUCAGGUGGCUAGCGACAGUCUAUUCAAAGCUGAAAUCUGGAAUUUCAGUGAAGAGUGCCUAGUUUGGAGUGCUUUUGUAAUUAAUCCAUGUGGUUUUGGGCUAAGAACUGUGUGGAGAAGUUGUAGUCCACUGUACCGAGAACAAGUUUUAUCAAGUAAGAUAGCCUUGGUGCUGCACAAAAAGAGGAGUAAAAGUGGCUCCAAGUUGUGCUGUCAGGCUUAGGAGGAGAGAAAUUCAGUUAGCUGUUCCUAAAGAAUUCAGUGUGCUUUUACUCACCUUUGGAGCUCUGUGGUAAUUAAUCCAUGGAGAUUUUUAUUAAGAGCUCUAUGGCAAAGUUAAAGACCAUUUGAAGGAGAACAAGUUUAUGCAAAUAAUUGGUCUUGUUAUUGUGUGUAAUUUGGAGAUAAUAGUGUUACAAAACUUACUCUGUCAGACUGAGUGGUGUGAUGUUUCAGAUUUCUGAAACUGAAAUUUCAGUGACAUUGGCUAUAUUUUAGGGUACCAUAACUUUUGUUUUAUAUGCUUUUAGUUAUGGGUUGCUAUACAAAAGACAUAUAGCUAUGAAUAUAGAAUAACUUUGGUGAAGAGAUAGUGGUCUGUUGCUAUGAAGAAUUGGGAGAUCAGAGGGCCUGAACUGGGAGGAAUGGAAUGAAGCAGCAGGCUGAUACAAUUGAGUUCAAUGUGGCAUUCGAAUUCUGAAGAAGAUCACUUCCUCUCUGUUAGGUUACUCGAGUAUUGGAUGGAGUCAAGGUUGAGAUACAUCACUAUGGGUCUAGGGGCCUUAUUUGCUGCUGGGAAAAUAGCAGAUUUGGACUGUUUUGGUGGGCAGUGAGGCCUUAUCUGUUGGAUCUGUGGUGGAAUUAACUAGACAGCAAAAAUCCAGUGGUUUCAUGCCUUCACCCCAGUAGCAAAUAUCAAGUUUUGGACCAUAGUGCAUACCCAAGUGGGAGACUUAUCUACUCCCUUUCCUAUCUGUUUACCGAACGAAGGGAUGGAUAUUUUGGCUGUGUGAGAUAGACUAAAUGCAGUGUAUUUGAGCUGUGGUUAUGAGCCUAUGUGGUGUGGGUGCAUGGGAGCCACGUACAAUAGGUCAUGCAGUGCUGGCAUUCCCACGGUUCUCCUACAUCAGGUCUGAGUUGAGCUCCAUACCCUGCCUACACAUUCAGUUGUACUUGUCCAUAUCCAGUACCCUUCGCUUGGGUUCAGUAAAGCUUCCCCUUGCCCUCAGGUUUUAGCUUGAGACCACUGCGUAAGUGCUGGAAUUCCUGUGUUCACGCUAGUACUCACCUCUCCCCAGUCACCAAACUUCGCCCCUCAGAAACUUGCACGCCAUCUUCCUGCCAGUGGUGACCAUAGCAGCAGUUUACAUCCUCACCAUGGCCAAGAUUCGUCGGAGGUUGUCUCGGUCGUGUGGUGCCCGUUCCUUGUUCCUCACAGGUCAGUGAAGCUCACACCAUUUACUGCUUGAACUCUACCACUAUUGGUUGCCUGGAACUAGGUGUGAAAUUUGCUCAAACAUAGGCUGUCAGAUUUCUGGAUCCCAGACUUAGUGCAUAAGGCUGAAACUAGGUUUUAGUGUGUUGAGCUCCACUUUGGUGCUUCAUAAAAAUUGUUCUGAAUGUUUUCAACCUAGGGGUGCUAUACCAAAGUAGUAGAGCUAUAUCUAAGGAAUAACUUUGGUAAUGUGAGUUUGGUCUGUUGCUGUGUAAAAAUUGGAGAAAAGGUUGGCUAAAGUUGGUCUAUCAGGAUGGACACACAACUGAAUUUUUAUUCAGUUCUGAGAACUGAAUUGCAGCAGGAUGCCUAGUUUGGAAUUCAUUUGUGACUGAUUCAUGGGGUUUUGGAUUAAGGGUUCCAUAGCAAAGUUGUAGACCAUAGUAAAGUGAACAAGUUUGCUAAAGUGAGAUGGACCUGGUUUCACAUAAAUUUGAGAGUAAAAGUGACCAAAAGUUUGACUGUCAGGUGGUUGGUGACUUAGUCUAUUCAGAACUGAAAGUCUGAAAUCAGUAAUUUUAGUGCAGUUUUGGAGCUGUGUAGUGCCUGUUCUAGGUGGUUUUGAACCAAAGUUUCUACAGCAAGUUUGAAGAACAUGUGUUAGAGAACAACAUCCUUUAGGUGAGUUGGGGUUGAUCCCACACACAAAGUGGUGUAAAGACUGCCCAAAGAUGGACUUUCAGUUGCGGAGACUGAAUUUCAUUCAGCUGCCUGAAAACUGAAUUUGCAAUGUGUAUUUUCAGUCUUGGAGUGUUAUACCAAAGUGGAAGAGAAAUACUUAGGGAAUAGAUUUGGUUAAGUAAGUGGGUCUCUUGUCAUUUGAGUUUAUGAGAUAAAAGGCAUUGAACAGAGGGGAGAGGAAUGGAGC
RNAcentral lists this long non-coding RNA (8696 nucleotides) under Zea mays. Its description in RNAcentral is "long non-coding RNA (ZMAY_LNC004182)". The record is from RNAcentral. Lineage: Eukaryota; Viridiplantae; Streptophyta; Magnoliopsida; Poales; Poaceae.